AAAUGAUAAAUAUAUAUUAAAAAUAGAGAAAACAAGUUUAAUCAUCGCUUCAAUCAAUCUUUUAAAUAAACGAUUUAUGAAUUAAUUAAUCUAACGAAUUAAUAUCCCAAACAAUUCUCAAUUCGCAGAAAUGAAAGUUUAAAAAGUUGUGAAGAGGCAGUCUAAUCUAAUUAUCUCAACAUAGCUUAGUAAGAAAAAUAAAAGAAAAAACCCAAAAGAAAACAAAAAAAUCCUCC
This 236-nucleotide long non-coding RNA is filed under the name Gossypium raimondii (Peruvian cotton). Its description in RNAcentral is "long non-coding RNA (GRAI_LNC000979)". The record is from RNAcentral. Lineage: Eukaryota; Viridiplantae; Streptophyta; Magnoliopsida; Malvales; Malvaceae.